This 371-nucleotide ribosomal RNA is filed under the name uncultured Nitrososphaerota archaeon. RNAcentral describes it as "bacterial SSU rRNA". It matches the Rfam family "Archaeal small subunit ribosomal RNA", at positions 508 to 877 of the family's 1478-position model. The record is from RNAcentral. Lineage: Archaea; Thermoproteati; Nitrososphaerota.
GCCUAAAGCAUCCGUAGCCGGUUGCAUCAAGUUUUCGGUUAAAUCUACAGCGCUUAACGUAUGGGCCGCCGAAAAUACUGUGCAGCUAGGGAGUGGGAGAGGUACACGGUACUCAAUAGGAAGGGGUAAAAUCCUUUGAUCUAUUGAUGACCACCUGUGGCGAAGGCGGUCUACCAGAACACGUUCGACGGUGAGGGAUGAAAGCUGGGGGAGCAAACCGGAUUAGAUACCCGGGUAGUCCCAGCUGUAAACGAUGCAGACUCGGUGAUGCAUUGGCUUGUGGCCAAUGCAGUGCCGCAGGGAAGCCGUUAAGUCUGCCGCCUGGGAAGUACGUACGCAAGUAUGAAACUUAAAGGAAUUGGCGGGGGAGC